AAUCCUUCUCAAAAGGGCCGCAGCACCCGCACCAACCAUCCUCUCCAAGCUCUCCAACCCCAUCCGUUCUGCUUCUGUAUCUCCCCUCGUUUCUCGGUCAUUCAACACCAAUAGCCAAGUCACCAGCUACGAUCAGGAUGAAAGCUCAGUCCCCGUUGGUCGCGGCACCGCCGACAGGUCUCCCUCCCGCCGCCGUGACCUCGGUUCUCCCUUCUUCUCAGGUAGUUGUUAUCUGUGUUCUCUUUCCUUUCCCCAGUUCUAAAAUGGUUCCAUUUGUUGAUCAGAUAUUUGAAAUUCUUAAUUGGGUUUGGUUUUCGAUCACGUAUCUCGAUUGGGUUUUUGUUUUCGUCAGAUAUUUGAAUUGGGUUUUGUUUGUUUUGUGAGUUGCACUCGGAUUUCUCCAAUUGGGUUUUUUCUCGGUCAAAAUUCUGAAAUUCUGAACUGAGUUUUGUAUUUGGUUAGAUUUCCCGGUUGGGUUUUCCUUUUGAUCAAACAUCUCACCAGGGUUCUGUUUAUUUUUGUGAGUUG
This 528-nucleotide long non-coding RNA is filed under the name Malus domestica (apple). RNAcentral describes it as "long non-coding RNA (MDOM_LNC005695)". The record is from RNAcentral. Lineage: Eukaryota; Viridiplantae; Streptophyta; Magnoliopsida; Rosales; Rosaceae.